RNAcentral lists this long non-coding RNA (232 nucleotides) under Drosophila guanche. The record is from RNAcentral. Lineage: Eukaryota; Metazoa; Arthropoda; Insecta; Diptera; Drosophilidae.
CGAGCCGCAUCUCUAAGUGGACUUCUUUGUCUCCGACAGAGUGGUUUUUCAUUAGAAACAUUCUCCUGGCAUUGUGGAUGUCUCCUCUUCACUUCUCAAGCACUUCAUUUUGUCGGAUCUCAGGCAAAACUUUUCACUCACAUCUCCCCGAAACGAAUGUGUAAUAGAAAACUUGCUCCAGUUUUUUCCACAGAAAAAACUCACACAUUCAAAAGAUGCUACUGCUCGCAUG